CGACCGCCUGGGGAGUACGGCCGCAAGGUUAAAACUCAAAUGAAUUGACGGGGGCCCGCACAAGCGGUGGAGCAUGUGGUUUAAUUCGAUGCAACGCGAAGAACCUUACCUGGUCUUGACAUCCACAGAACCUUGUAGAGAUACGAGGGUGCCUUCGGGAACUGUGAGACAGGUGCUGCAUGGCUGUCGUCAGCUCGUGUUGUGAAAUGUUGGGUUAAGUCCCGCAACGAGCGCAACCCUUAUCCUUUGUUGCCAGCGGUCCGGCCGGGAACUC
This 274-nucleotide ribosomal RNA is filed under the name Escherichia coli. RNAcentral describes it as "partial 16S ribosomal RNA". It matches the Rfam family "Bacterial small subunit ribosomal RNA", at positions 866 to 1140 of the family's 1533-position model. The record is from RNAcentral. Lineage: Bacteria; Pseudomonadati; Pseudomonadota; Gammaproteobacteria; Enterobacterales; Enterobacteriaceae.